AGUUUACGUUCUAUAACCCUUUGUGAACAUACCUAUAACUGUUGCUUCGGCGGGUAGGGUCUCCGCGACCCUCCCGGCCUCCCGCCUCCGGGCGGGUCGGCGCCCGCCGGAGGAUAACCAAACUCUGAUUUAACGACGUUUCUUCUGAGUGGUACAAGCAAAUAAUCAAAACUUUUAACAACGGAUCUCUUGGUUCUGGCAUCGAUGAAGAACGCAGCGAAAUGCGAUAAGUAAUGUGAAUUGCAGAAUUCAGUGAAUCAUCGAAUCUUUGAACGCACAUUGCGCCCGCCAGCAUUCUGGCGGGCAUGCCUGUUCGAGCGUCAUUUCAACCCUCAAGCUCUGCUUGGUGUUGGGGCCCUACAGCUGAUGUAGGCCCUCAAAGGUAGUGGCGGACCCUCCCGGAGCCUCCUUUGCGUAGUAACUUUACGUCUCCACUGGGAUCCGGAGGGACUCUUGCCGUAAAACCCCCCAAUUUUCCAAAGGUUGACCUCGGAUCAGGUAGGAAUACCCGCUGAACUUAAGCAUAUCAAU
This 531-nucleotide ribosomal RNA is filed under the name Colletotrichum gloeosporioides. RNAcentral's name for it is "eukaryotic LSU rRNA". The stretch from base 170 to 323 matches the Rfam family "5.8S ribosomal RNA". Lineage: Eukaryota; Fungi; Ascomycota; Sordariomycetes; Glomerellales; Glomerellaceae. The record is from RNAcentral.